AUUGAACGCUGGCGGCAUGCUUUACACAUGCAAGUCGAACGGUAACAGGCCGCAAGGUGCUGACGAGUGGCGAACGGGUGAGUAAUGCAUCGGAACGUGCCCAGUCGUGGGGGAUAACUACUCGAAAGAGUAGCUAAUACCGCAUACGAUCUAUGGAUGAAAGCGGGGGACCGUAAGGCCUCGCGCGAUUGGAGCGGCCGAUGUCAGAUUAGGUAGUUGGUGGGGUAAAGGCUCACCAAGCCAACGAUCUCUAGCUGGUCUGAGAGGACGACCAGCCACGCUGGGACUGAGACACGGCCCAGACUCCUACGGGAGGCAGCAGUGGGGAAUUUUGGACAAUGGGCGCAAGCCUGAUCCAGCAAUGCCGCGUGCAGGAAGAAGGCCUUCGGGUUGUAAACUGCUUUUGUACGGAACGAAACGGCUCUGGUUAAUACCCGGGGCUAAUGACGGUACCGUAAGAAUAAGCACCGGCUAACUACGUG
Molecule: ribosomal RNA, 482 nt
Filed under: uncultured bacterium
Lineage: Bacteria
Description: partial 16S ribosomal RNA
Rfam family: Bacterial small subunit ribosomal RNA
Source: RNAcentral